CACCCACCUCGGCCUCCCAAAGUGCUAGGAUUACAGGCAUGAGCCACCACGCCCAGCCCAUACCUGCUCUAUAGAGAGGGUGAAGUUUGCUCAUCUGGGCCUGCAGCACCCAGGAGCUCCUGAAAGAGCUCAUGGCAGUUUCAGAGUAGACAGAGGAUGUGAGAAGCAGUGACUCUUGUUUGGAAAUCUUCUAAAUUGGCUGACUCCCAUUUACAUGCUGUUUCUGGCAGCAGAGAUCAGUCUGGGUCACCUCUAUGCUGCUGAGUAAAUAUGCUCAAAAUUAUUACUAUUUCAGACAAAUGUUUAACUGUUCUCAGAUUAUCUAUAACACCCCAGGCCAAAGUCACAGCAAUCUAACCUGGGAGUGAGUUUACUUUACUUUGUGAUUUAUGGAAUGAGAAUUCUGGGUGCUCUGUGGGACUAAUUUAAUACGAAACAUUCAGAUGUCUGUCUUAUAAUGCCAUUCAUCUUUCCUUAGCCUGCCUGCACCAGGGAGCAUGUGGUUCAGAGAGCAGCCUCUCCCUUCUCAGCCACAAAUCAUCACGCUUGUGAAAGGGGGUGACAAGUCUUCCCUUCUAAGCCAGGCUGCCUGCAACAGAGGGUCUGUCUGGUCUCUGAUGGAAGAAAAGUGUUUUCCACUCUUUCAGGCUGUUGGAGUGUUUUGAAAGGUACAGUUGGCAAAGUAGGAUUCCUAGUCAACAUUGCUUUGGUUUGCCUUUUGGUAAAGGGAAUUUAGUCAGUCUAUACUGUCUUAUCAACAGGUGCAGAUUUGUUUUAUAAGAAGGCAAUGUGAUGUUCUAUGGAUUGACAUAAUGCACGUGAGAAGAAAGUUCUACAAAAAGCUAAACUCUGAUUCAGUGUAGUACUUACAUUUGAAAAGCAGAUAUUUCAAUGCAUGGCUAAAAAGGAACAAAAAUAAAACUUUUUAAACCAACAAGUUACCCUAAAUCUCACAUUCAUCCAACAAAUAUUCAUGAACGCCUGCUAUGUAGUAAGGGCUAUUCAGGCACUGGGAACACAAUUCUGAACACCCUACUUUCAUGGAGUUUGCAGACCAGUGAGAGAAAGGGCAUGUCCACAGUGGUAAGUCCUACAAGGGUGAGCAACAGGUACAGGGGGAGCACAUGGAAGGAAGUUCCCCACACAGUCAUAUAAAAUGACAUGAGAAAGCUGCAGGAAGAAAAUGUGCAAAAUCAUGGAAGUAAGAGAGAAUAUACAAUCUUGGGGAAUGGGGAAAAGUUUAGCAUGGGUGGAGUGCAGAACUCUGUGAACAAAGGGCUGAGAACCCAGACUUCAGAGCCAGGGGACCUCCGGAUUCCAAAGGCCUUUGGGCACAGGGGAGCGAGUUUGUCCUGCAUUUUGAUGGCAACAGAGGGCCACUUAAGCUCUUUAAGUGAGGAAGUGACAUGAUAUGAUUCUUAUUCUAGAAAGAUCAUUCUGGCUACAACUUUGACAAAGAAUUCGAUAGAAGCAAGGCUCUGGGGGUGGGGGUGUGUGCAGUGACUAGUUGGAAAAUCAGUGUUAUUAUACCAGUGAGUGAUGGCAGUGGUCUGAAGUCAGAUAGGUUCUGGAGUCUGGGAAGUUGAAGAUCAAGGUGCCAGCAGAUUCAGUUUCUGAGAUAUAAGGCAUGACAACAACUCCUUUAAGGGGAAGAUAAGAUAUCUUUCAACUUCUACUUGCGAUGCUGUGAUGCUUUAGGCACUAAAGCAGAAUUAGAGAGCUGCUGCAGGAAUGGGAGAAGACAAACGCUUCAGGACCAUAGAAGGAGGGGCACAGGCAAUCAUAAAUCAGAGAAAGAUGCUGGUCCUGCAGAAAGAGCCACUAACCCUGGAGAGAGAGCCGCCUUGGUGCAUUGAUGACUGAUGAGCCGACAACAGUUGGAGAUGAGAGUAAGUCUAGCAAUGUUCAAAGAGUGGGUGGGAAGAACAUGGCUAAAUCAUCCAGAAUAGCCACAGCAGUGAAAGCAGUUGAGAGAAAGUCCACAUUGGAUGGGAUUCAAAUACCAUCUGGGGGUUUCAUUAUAGAAGGUAUAGAGAAGCACUUUGAAAUGUGAUCUGUUUCUCAUUCUUCCAGCAAAAGUCUCAAACACUGAAACUCUGAGCUUCUUUGGAGUCACUGUCAUUAGCCAGACACCCCCAGUGAAAUCCAAACCCUACCCUUCCUGCUGCCUGUUCAUUUCUCACACACAGUCCAUCCUCCAGAGGUAUUUUAUACAGCCUGACAGCGUGAAAGGAUACAUUCCUAACUGAUGACAAAGAAUCGCAUGCAAGCCCGUAAAGACAAAAAUACACAGCAUGGAAAAGGAAGAGAUUCGAAGUUUCUAGACAUUCUCUAAGUGUCCUUUUACACAUCUAGGCCACAUUAAUCUUCCCAAAACAUUGUUUUCACCAUGCCAUUUCUUUAUUUACAGGCAAGUAGUGGUUCAAGCACUUGAGUUUAGGAUAGUGUUAUGGACUAAACUGUGUCCACUCCAAAUUCAUGGUUAAGCCCUAACCGCUACUGUGACUAUAUUCGAAGAUAGAGCCUUUAAGGAGGUAAUUAAGGUUAAAUAAAGCCAUAAGGGUGGAGCCCUAUUCCAGUGGGACUGGUUUCUUUAUAUACAAGAAAAAGAAGAGACGCCAGGGUUCUUUCUCUCUCCACAUGCACACAAAGGAAAGGAUAUGUGUGAACACAGCAAGAAGGUGGCUGUCUGUAAGCCAAAAAGGGAGGCCUCACCAGAAACCAACCCAGCUGGCACCUUGAUCUUGGACAUCCAGCCUCCAGAACUGUGAGAAAAUCAACUUCUGUUGUUUCUGCUGUUUAACACUCAGUCUAGUAUUUUGUUAUGGCUGACUGAGAAAACUAAUACAUAUGUAUAUGGGGUCUAUCAUAUGCUUUUAAACAAUCUCUCUGGUCACAUCUAUCUCUUCCAAUUUCUCUGUCCAUGGGGCACCUAUUUAAUACGCUUUAUGAAUUCCAACACCUAUAUUUACAUGGGUGUCCCUAAUCCUUGCUAACCAUUUUUCUGCUUAAGGUGUUGAAUCUUCUCCAUUUCUCAAGUUCCAUCAGAGUUCCUGAUUGAUUCCUCUGUAGAGCCUUGUCUGCCACCCUAGAAAGCAAAAACAAAAAAGUUACCAUUUGGAGGUAGAAAUGGUUCACCACAAGACACCCAGAUGGCAAUAGGAUUUCUGAGGAUGAGGGAGCUGCAUCUUGCUUUUGUUUCUCAGAGUCUCUCUGGAGAAAGGAUUCAUCUAGAGCCCAUAAAACCAAAUCACGCAAGAUGGAAAAACAGGAUGAAAGAUUAAAAUUUUUGUCCAAGACCAUAAAAGCCAGCUGUGGAUCCCUGGGUGAAUCUUGGAGUUGCUAACUUCUGUAUUUUGCUUAGUUUAUUGAGUAACAAUACCUUAAUUUAAAAAAAAUAUUUUCAGCCAAAGAGGUGAGGGAAUAGAUAUGUGCGCUUGCAAGGAAGUCUGCAGGGUAACUCCAUAUCAUAUCAAAUAUCACUUGUAAAAUACAUUGCUAAAGGCAUUGGCCAGAGUGAAUAGUCAAGAUAAUCACCAAGUAGUGCAAGGACAAAGCUGGGUUUGGGCCUUCUAGCUUCUUCUCUCUUCCUAUGACUGUGAGGAGCAGCCCCCAAGGCAGACCAGGUAGUUCCUCCUAACACAGCCCCUGCUUCCCCAAUUUGAAAAUAAAAUAAAACAUCCUAUCAACACAUAAAUGCCCAGAUACUCCAGAUGGUGAAUGAGGUGGCAUCUCUUGGAUGAUUCAGAUGACAUACAACUUGAAGCUGGCAUGAGAAACAAGGCAGAAAAAGGCAUUCAGUCUAUCACAAGAAGGAAGAAAAUCCAGUAGCUUUGUUUUCCUCUUUCUUAUAGAUCUCUGCUCUAGAGCCAAUCUAAAAACUGAAUUCUGGUUUCUAGUUUUUCUAAGUCUGUAUCCACUGACAUACAAUCAAAUAAAAUGUCUUUAAGUAAACAGAGAUCUUCAUCUCAUCAGCUUUAACUGGUGAAUCUGGCCAGGGACAUUUAUCACUCAAUCCCACUGCUUUUUCUUUA
RNAcentral lists this long non-coding RNA (4034 nucleotides) under Homo sapiens (human). Its description in RNAcentral is "HSALNT0362095". The record is from RNAcentral. Lineage: Eukaryota; Metazoa; Chordata; Mammalia; Primates; Hominidae.